RNAcentral lists this ribosomal RNA (766 nucleotides) under uncultured bacterium. RNAcentral's name for it is "bacterial SSU rRNA". It matches the Rfam family "Bacterial small subunit ribosomal RNA", at positions 8 to 769 of the family's 1533-position model. The record is from RNAcentral.
AGAGUUUGAUCCUGGCUCAGAUUGAACGCUGGCGGCAUGCUUUACACAUGCAAGUCGAACGGUAACAGGGUGCUUGCACCGCUGACGAGUGGCGAACGGGUGAGUAAUGCGUCGGAACGUGCCGAGUAAUGGGGGAUAACGCAUCGAAAGGUGUGCUAAUACCGCAUACGCUCUGAGGAGGAAAGCUGGGGAUCGAAAGACCUGGCGUUAUUCGAGCGGCCGACGUCUGAUUAGCUAGUUGGUGAGGUAAAGGCUCACCAAGGCGACGAUCAGUAGCGGGUCUGAGAGGAUGAUCCGCCACACUGGGACUGAGACACGGCCCAGACUCCUACGGGAGGCAGCAGUGGGGAAUUUUGGACAAUGGGGGCAACCCUGAUCCAGCCAUGCCGCGUGUCUGAAGAAGGCCUUCGGGUUGUAAAGGACUUUUGUUAGGGAGCAAGUCCUGCAGGUUAAGAGCUAGUAGGGAUGAGAGUACCUAAAGAAUAAGCACCGGCUAACUACGUGCCAGCAGCCGCGGUAAUACGUAGGGUGCAAGCGUUAAUCGGAAUUACUGGGCGUAAAGGGUGCGCAGGCGGUAUUGUAAGCCAGAUGUGAAAUCCCCGGGCUCAACCUGGGAACUGCGUUUGGAACUGCAAUGCUAGAGUGUGUCAGAGGGGGGUGGAAUUCCACGUGUAGCAGUGAAAUGCGUAGAGAUGUGGAGGAACACCGAUGGCGAAGGCAGCCCCCUGGGAUAACACUGACGCUCAGGCACGAAAGCGUGGGGAGC